CCUUCGAGAAGGGAGGAGGAGGAGGAACAUGGCAGGUUACAAUCGUCUCUUGCCAUGUGCUGCCCAAGGAGGUUGAGAGAAUAGCAGAAAAAACAACCUGUUCCAGCCCAGCCCCAGAGCUAGACAUGUCACUGGGAGCAUGAAAAAAAUCCUAGCCCCACCCAGGAGGCUCUCAGAGUUCCAGACCAUCCAUUAAGUGCCCUCUGUGCACCUCUGAGAGGUAACAGUGACCAAGACAGAACUAUCUCUGCCCUUCACUGUCAGAUGAGACAGACAGCUGAGGACAUCACUGCAACCCAGGGCCUUGUGGACUGCAGGGAAGCUGCCUGGUGGAGAAGACUGGGCUGAUCCAUGACGAUGUGGAUACCUUGGCUCCUCCCCAGCUGUGGGGCAGAGGCGCUGUAUGGAGAGUGCUCAGUAAGGUUUUAGAAGGAAGGAAGUCCGGCCCUUCCUGAAUUUCUCCUGGGUCAUGCUCCACCCACUCCCCUGAAGAAAUGGAAAGCAGAUUGUGUGGCUUAAGCAAGAAAACACUGGCAUGCUCUCACAGGCCAUGGAUAUAUGUUUCUGGAUUCUCACCCCUGCCCUGCUGGGAACCUCCAGCUGCCCAGGCCAGAAGUGACAUGAUCAAAAGGGUGAGGAGCUGAAUGGUGGCCUUUCAGGGGUCACAGUGGGGAGGUCACUGGGCUUGUUAGACCUUGUUUCUAGUUCAGCAACGUGCACGCUCGCCUGACCUCGGCGGUGAUAAGGUAGGCAUAUGAGAGGUGCCCUCGGCUCUGAAGAGGACCCAGGAAGCUCCUACAGAAAAGAAACUGAAAGGCAGCUACAAUGAAGCUGUUGAAUGCAGAUCCGACACUUGUUCUGCAGGGGUGAAGGUGUGACCAGAACACUGACUUGCCCUUUCGAUUGACAAUAGUUGGCCGGGAGGUGUGUGGGGGUGUCAGUUAUGUGUCAAAGGCCUGUGGGUGACUCUGCACUCGGUGAUAAUCGGAAAGCAAUUUAUUCACUGAGUGACUUUGGCCAAAUGACCUAAC
Molecule: long non-coding RNA, 1031 nt
Organism: Onychomys torridus (southern grasshopper mouse)
Lineage: Eukaryota; Metazoa; Chordata; Mammalia; Rodentia; Cricetidae
Exons: 3
Source: RefSeq, a predicted model, not a curated record